AUUGAACGCUGGCGGCAUGCCUUACACAUGCAAGUCGAACGGCAGCAUGAUCUAGCUUGCUAGAUUGAUGGCGAGUGGCGAACGGGUGAGUAAUACAUCGGAACGUGCCCUGUAGUGGGGGAUAACUAGUCGAAAGAUUAGCUAAUACCGCAUACGACCUGAGGGUGAAAGUGGGGGACCGCAAGGCCUCAUGCUAUAGGAGCGGCCGAUGUCUGAUUAGCUAGUUGGUGAGGUAAAGGCUCACCAAGGCGACGAUCAGUAGCUGGUCUGAGAGGACGAUCAGCCACACUGGGACUGAGACACGGCCCAGACUCCUACGGGAGGCAGCAGUGGGGAAUUUUGGACAAUGGGCGAAAGCCUGAUCCAGCAAUGCCGCGUGUGUGAAGAAGGCCUUCGGGUUGUAAAGCACUUUUGUCCGUAAAGAAAUGGCUCUGGUUAAUACCUGGGGUCGAUGACGGUACCGGAAGAAUAAGGACCGGCUAACUACGUG
This 490-nucleotide ribosomal RNA is filed under the name uncultured bacterium. RNAcentral describes it as "partial 16S ribosomal RNA". It matches the Rfam family "Bacterial small subunit ribosomal RNA", at positions 30 to 507 of the family's 1533-position model. The record is from RNAcentral.